This is an RNA transcript of Amphiprion ocellaris (clown anemonefish), 5380 nucleotides long. It is a transcript of the gene named actin binding LIM protein 1a, with no coding region annotated. The record is from RefSeq and is a predicted model, not a curated record. NCBI's taxonomy places the organism in Eukaryota, Metazoa, Chordata, Actinopteri, Pomacentridae. The transcript is spliced from 24 exons.
ACCUGCAGCAGACUGCUUUGUCACACUUACUGCCUGCUGUUUGUCAUCUCCACCUCAAGGUGGACGUCAGCGCUUCCACUUCUUGCAUCUACUGCACAUCUGAAGUGACAGGUGGAGGGAAUCCUAACAAGAGGAGUUUCCGCUGGAGGCCUCCCUGGAUAUUGCCAUGAUUUAAUGAUGAGCUGCUGUGAAUACACCCAUCGGUCUCCUUUGUUUCUUGUUUUGUGCCUAAAUGAACAUUUCUCCUUCUCAAUGUCUGAGGGCAAACGGAUUUUAGACCAAGUGUGAGCCUGACACUGGCUGACAUCUACCUGCGGUGCUUCACCCUUCUCUGUGGGACGGUUGAAGGGGACCAGGGCGCCAUGCCCACUCUGCCUAGUCUCAACAGCCUGGGCAAGCUGUGCAGCUCCAGCCGCAGUCACAAUGUCGACCGCGUCCGAGUGAAACGCAAGAGCUCAGUCAAGCGUAUGUCCGUCAUCGAGGAUGGACACGUGGCUGAAGUCCUGUACCUCAUUCCUAAACAGUACAUGGAGCAGCUACCAUACCUCAACCCAAAUGACUAUUAUCUAAGUGAAAGGCUGAAUGAGGUCGCUACAGUGGCUCAUGCGCAGGACACACACCACCACUCCACAGAGAAGCCCCUGAUUCAGUGCUACAAGUGCGGGGAGCCAUGUAAAGGCGAAGUGCUGCGGGUGCAGAGCAAGCACUUUCACCUCAAGUGCUUCACCUGUAAAGUGUGUGGCUGUGACCUCGCCCAGGGGGGCUUCUUCAUGAAGAAUGGAGAAUAUCUGUGCACGCUGGACUACCAACGAAUGCACGGCACCCGCUGCAAUGGCUGCGGGGACUUUGUUGAGGGAGAAGUGGUCACUGCCCUGGGCAAGACCUACCACCCGGCCUGCUUCGUCUGCACCAUCUGCAAACGACCGUUCCCUGCCGGGGACAGGGUGACCUUUAACGGGAAGGACUGUCUGUGUCAGUACUGUGUUGAGCCCAUGUCUCCAGGACCAAAGGACAUCCUGGGCUCCAGCAACUGUGCCGGAUGUGGCCGAGACAUUAAGAACGGACAGGCUCUUCUUGCCUUGGACAGACAGUGGCACCUGGGCUGCUUCAAGUGUAAGGCCUGCAGCAAAGUGCUGACCGGGGAGUACAUCAGCAAGGAUGGCGCCCCCUACUGUGAGAAGGACUACCAGAUCCAUUUUGGAGUUCAGUGUGAGGCGUGUCAUCAGUUCAUCACAGGGAAGGUGCUAGAGGCAGGAGAUAAGCACUACCACCCCAGCUGCGCGAGAUGCAGCAGGUGCAAUCAGAUGUUCACAGAAGGAGAAGAGAUGUAUCUGCAAGGAUCAACAGUGUGGCAUCCCGGCUGCAAGAACACCACUAGAACAGAGGAGAGACACAGGGAGCGGCUAUUGCCUCCGUCCCUCUUAUUCCUCCAAAAAACAGAAAGGCAGCCUACGAGGUCGUCAUCCGAGAGUAUUUGUUCCAGACCUGGUUCAAGCAUACCUGGCUCACCGGGUCACACGAUCUAUGCAAAAGUAGACAAUGAGAUCCUUGAUUACAGAGACCUAGCUGCCAUUCCAAAAGUCAAAGCCAUUUAUGACAUUGAGCGCCCUGAUCUUAUUACCUAUGAACCCAUGUACUCCACCUCCCUGGAUGAGAGAGAGGAGAGACGAGAGAGUGUGGGAGAGCUCCACACUGCCAGGAGGGAACGUUCCCCUUUGCCUGAUGACAAGUCCUCAAGAAACAUGUCGCCAACCCCACCCAGUGAGGGCUCUUACGACAGGAGGGAACGCAUCCUUCAAAGAUCCACCAGUCAGGGCUCCAUAGGAUCACCAGUUUAUAAUCGCCAUGGUUACACUCCCACCUUGUCACGGUCACCACAGCAUUUUCACAGGCCAGAGGCUCUGACAGGCAUGCAGAAGCUCUGCUCCUCCCUGUGCAGUAACAGUGUGGGCUCCAGAAAUAGUGACUCCCGCCCCACCUCCCCUUUCAGACACCACUUCCUCCCCCAUAGCCAAGGCACUGACCCGCCAAGUGGCCGGAGCUCCCCCCUCCCGCUCAGGCCCGACAGCCGGCCGGUCACCCCGCCUCUCUCUCAGACCCCUAAACAUUUCCACCUCCCAGAUCAGGGGAGCAACAUCUACAGAAAACCACCCAUCUACAAACAACACGAUACAGCUGCCAUAGCACGUCAAAGCAAGUCUGCUGAUGACAUCAUCAGAUCCGCCACCUUCCCCGCUGCCCAUGCUCCCUCUCCGGACGACAGCUCUCGGAGUGAGGGCGACCGUUGGCCCUACUCUCUCGCUGUAUUAGGUUCAGAAGGAAGGAGACGGUCUAGAGAAGAGGAGGAGGAGGAGGCCUUGAAAAGAAAGCAGCUGCAGGAGGAACAUCUCAGUAAGAUUCAGUCUGGUUUGGGGAAACUGAUUCUGAAGGAGGAGAUGGAAAAAGAGCAGAUCAGGGAGCGUCAUGCACGCAGCCUCUCUGCUCAGCGCUACGAUCCUAAACAGACCAACUGUGACGCAGAUCCAACCUCUCCAACCAAAACUAACUCUUUGCCUGGCUAUGGGAGGAAUGGGCUGCAUCGGCCUCAGUCAACCGAUUUCACUCAGUACAACAGUUACGGUGACAUGUGUGGAGGAGGCAGAGAGUUUCAGGUAUGUCUCUCAUCUGCUUUUUCACAUGGCAUGCUUCCUUCAUCUUGCAUCAUGUAUUUGCUUGCUUGUGGGUUGCAAGAGACACCUUGCCCUGAAUGCACACCGCCCACUCCUGCUACAUGCUUGCAUCACUAUUGGUUUAGUGUCAACAACAGGGCAUGUAGUGCAGUGAUUUCAAAUGCCUCGGAUUUGAGAAGCAAACACGCACUGCCCAGUAGCUGAACCAGUGUACUAUAAAUGCAAUGUAUAAUCAUUGCCUCAUGUCUUGUUCUGUGUGUUGUUUAUCAGUGUUAUGACUCGAGCUAAAUGUCACAUUUAAAUUUAGCCUUUUAUAGAAGAAAAAACUACAGAGACAUUUAGACAACAUGUAAAUGACUGCCCAUCUUGUAAUUAAGAUACUGAAGCAGUAUCCAAAGCUACUCGCCCCAUCCAGUGAGAACUGUGCCCACUGUCAUUAGUGGACAUACUCAUGCCAUUAACCGUGUAGUCCCCUUCCACUAUAUUACAUUUGUGUAUGUUCUAUUCUUUAGCACAUUAAGGAUGGCCGUGCAGCACUUGCAAGGAUGGACAGGGGAGUAUCUAUGCCUAAUAUGUUGGAACCAAAAGCAAGUAUCUUCUUCUUUUUGUACUGAUGACAACAUUGUAAUCGACACUGCAAUAUGUUACAAAAUCUACAUAUUGUUCACUUCUUUAAAUGCAUUUUAAUUUGUAAAAAAGGAUACAUUUCACAACAAAGCAUAGUAAUAAAGAGACCAGCUCAAACUCCUAACCUAGUGUGGGGACAUCGGUGGAAGAAAUAGUUAAAAAAACAUUUUUACUGGAAGCGAAAAACUCACGUCAGAUGGGUUCCUGAUUCAGCAUGCUGCUUUAGGAGCUGCCCAGUCACUCUAGCGCUUAGCAUGCUGGCUUCUCCAUGCUCAUCUGCACAUAGCUUUGACUUAAAGUGGCUGGAUACUGUAUGCAGCAUACAGUGGAGAAUCCAAUGCCCAGAUUGUCAUCCAAACAACUCAUAUCACUAUAUACUGCGUAGUAUAUAAGGGAGUAUACACAUGGAUAUGAGUUGGUCAGAGGCUUCGAAGAACUUCUAGUUGCUUAUUAUUGAGCAUUUCGGCUAUGAUUAACCACUUUCUUAUUGUAUGGAAGGCAUUAGUAUUUAGAAACAUAGAAGCACCUCAGUUUCCAGGACAAUCGUUCCCAUGUGGAUUUACUUGGCCCACAUUACAGAUGUUAGUUCUAUUUUUAGUUUGCAUUAAAUUAUUCUAAAAAUACAGCUGGUUUCGUAACUGUUUUCAUGUUUUUUUCCCUUACCUAAUCUGUUGCACGUUUCAACACCUAAAGGAAAAAUCCGAAAACCCACCAUAACACCCGCAUUUCCCCAACAACCUAAAAUACAACCCAGUCAGCCUCCUGUCACAUACCUGUUCUCCCACCCAGUGUUCCCAUUGUCACAGUCAGAUGUACCAAAAUAUCCAAAUUUGAUAGUACUGUUCGAUAAAAACUGGUUUGCAAGUUUUUGAAACACUUAACUCGAGCUCGCAGGUUGGACCUGUUCACUGAUGAAUGUCUCCUUCUGAAGGUGUAUCCCUAUGAAAUGCUCAUGAUAACCAGUAGAGGGAGAGCUAAACUGCCCAGGGAUGUGGACAGAACCAGACUGGAGCGCCACUUAGCACCUGAAACGUUCUUUGACAUCUUUGGAAUGGAGAUCCAGGAGUUUGACAGGCUUCCCCUGUGGAAACGCAACGACAUGAAAAAGAAGGCCAAGCUCUUCUAGCACUCAGAGCAGCAUGCAUAUUCUGUACAUUCAUUCAGAUAGCACACGACAACUGUAAUCUAGAUGUAGGUUUUUGGUUUAUUUCCUUUUUUCCUCUGUUUUUUUUCCCUGUUUUUGUUUUAUCCUGACAUAAUCAAGGAAGCCAUGAAAUGGACUCUGCUCUGACGCUUCCUGAGACUAUGAACUGAAAGAUUUGUCCAGUUAGACUUGCACAGAAUGGGAAUCUCUUCCAUGUUCAAAAAUGACAAAGAAUGAAUGAUAAAUAGGGUCAUGUUAUUUGGUUUGACUGCGCUCGUUUUACUUCUUGCUUUGCUUUGAGUGGAACUGCUUUCCUUUCUUUCUUGCUUGUUUCUUCCUACUAUUUGUUGCUGUUGAUUCCUGUGGAACUUUGUAAGUACAGUAGAACCUCAUGGCGCCAUUAUGAAAUGUCCAUGCUUGUAGCUUGAACAUGUGUCAGCUUUCCUUCGCUUGGGCUGAAACUAUUUUGGUCCAAAGUUUGCAAGAAUUGGCUCAGUGAGUCUUUGAAUAAAAAAAAUAAAAAUAAACACCACAGGGAAGGCAGUCAUCUGACCCACCAACUGUUUUACAUGGAAAUCUACAUGGAAAUUAAUCAUCCAAGCACCUACAUAUCACCACUCUCCUGCCCCUGGCUACUGCACACACAAAGCAAUCAUCUGACCCUGACAAAAAAAAAUGUCUCUCUUCUCAGGCUCUCAUAAACAUGGCCAGACACUCUCCCUUUACAUGUAUUGAAAGUACAAAUCUUAAUAUAUUUUAAUGCCGUAUCCAACGUAAAGUAACAGACAAAUAUCUAAAACCCCUCAUGUAAGAAGCAACUGUAUUUGAAAGUACUGUUUUAUAAAUGAAAACCCACACUGCCAUUUGUUGUAUUGAAAUCUAAGCCAAUAAAGCUUUAAAUCACCAUGAACCAUAAUGAUCCUCUGCUAUACCAAAGGUA